UGGGGAAUAUUGCACAAUGGGCGAAAGCCUGAUGCAGCAACGCCGCGUGAGUGAUGAAGGCCUUCGGGUUGUAAAGCUCUGUCUUUUGGGACGAUAAUGACGGUACCAAAGGAGGAAGCCACGGCUAACUACGUGCCAGCAGCCGCGGUAAUACGUAGGUGGCAAGCGUUGUCCGGAUUUACUGGGCGUAAAGGAUGCGUAGGCGGAUUUUUAAGUGAGAUGUGAAAACCCUAAGCUUAACUUGGGGACUGCAUUUCAUACUGGAAAUCUAGAGUGCGGGAGAGGAGAAUGGAAUUCCUAGUGUAGCGGUGAAAUGCGUAGAGAUUAGGAAGAACACCAGUGGCGAAGGCGAUUCUCUGGACCGUAACUGACGCUGAGGCAUGAAAGCGUGGGUAGCAAACAGGAUUAGAUACCCUGGUAGUCCACGCCGUAAACGAUGAGUACUAGGUGUAGGAGGUAUCGACCCCCUUCUGUGCCGCAGUUAACACAAUAAGUACUCCGCCUGGGGAAGUACGAUCGCAAGAUUAAAACUCAAAGGAAUUGACGGGGGUCAUAGCUG
This 559-nucleotide ribosomal RNA is filed under the name uncultured bacterium. RNAcentral's name for it is "partial 16S ribosomal RNA". It matches the Rfam family "Bacterial small subunit ribosomal RNA", at positions 355 to 928 of the family's 1533-position model. The record is from RNAcentral.